Acanthosepion pharaonis is the source of this 96-nucleotide non-coding RNA. The record is from the annotation of a GenBank genome assembly. NCBI's taxonomy places the organism in Eukaryota, Metazoa, Mollusca, Cephalopoda, Sepiida, Sepiidae.
GUAAACACCGGUUCCCAUAUGAUUAUUGAAGUAAAGCCAUGUUGACGCAGGUCAGUUCUUCGAUGGGUGACCACUUGGGAAUACUCUGUGCUGUAA